This 615-nucleotide ribosomal RNA is filed under the name Hydraenida ocellata. Its description in RNAcentral is "partial small subunit ribosomal RNA". It matches the Rfam family "Eukaryotic small subunit ribosomal RNA", at positions 22 to 602 of the family's 1831-position model. RNAcentral also lists the same sequence under 1 other name. Lineage: Eukaryota; Metazoa; Arthropoda; Insecta; Coleoptera; Hydraenidae. The record is from RNAcentral.
AGUCAUAUGCUUGUCUCAAAGAUUAAGCCAUGCAUGUCUCAGUACAAGCCAAAUUAAGGUGAAACCGCGAAAGGCUCAUUAAAUCAGUUAUGGUUCCUUAGAUCGUACCCACACUUACUUGGAUAACUGUGGUAAUUCUAGAGCUAAUACAUGCAAAUAGAGCCCCGACUGGNNNNAGACGGGAGGGNGCGCNNNUUUUAUUAGAUCAAAACCAAUCGGCGUNCGGGUCNNAAACCGUCGUCGUGCUCUUUGGUGACUCUGAAUAACNUUGUUGCUGAUCGCACGGUCCAGCACCGGCGACGCAUCUUUCAAAUGUCUGCCUUAUCANACUGUCGAUGGUAGGUUCUGCGCCUACCAUGGUUGUAACGGGUAACGGGGAAUCAGGGUUCGAUUCCGGAGAGGGAGCCUGAGAAACGGCUACCACAUCCAAGGAAGGCAGCAGGCGCGCAAAUUACCCACUCCCGGCACGGGGAGGUAGUGACGAAAAAUAACGAUACGGGACUCAUCCNGAGGCCCCGUAAUCGGAAUGAGUACACUCUAAACCCUUUAACGAGGAUCAAUUGGAGGGUAAGUCUGGUGCCAGCAGCCGCGGUAAUUCCAGCUCCAAUAGCGUAU